AAGCCACCUCCAUCACCACGGACGUGGACACAGGAGGCUGCCGACAAAGCGCAAUAAAGCCGGUGACCUCAGAUACAGAGUUUAUCCUCUCACCAUCCCGGAGGCCAGAAAUGCCAGACCAAGGUGCCGGUGGGCCGUGCUCCCUCAGGAGGCCUUGGCGAGGCUCCCUCUUGGGGCCCCAGGUGUUCCUGGGCUUGUGGCUACAUUGCUCCCAUCCCUGCCUCAGUUGUCACAUUCUCCCCAGGUGCCUGUGUCUUCUAACAAGGACAUCAGCCAUUGGAUGAAGCCACCUUAAAUCCAGGAUGACUUCAUCGUAACUUACUGACAUCAGCAAAGACCCUAUUUCCAAAUACGGUCACAUUCACAGCUGCAGCUGGUUAGGACUUGAACAUGUAUUUUGGGGGGACACAAUUCCACCCACAGCAAUCCCCCUUGGUCCCCACUCAGCCCAGGUGAGAGCCAACCGGCACCUGCACAGCUGAAGCCAUGGUCCCCACCCCACCUUUGGUCCCCACAUCACGUGGAAAGCUCACGUGCAGGGGCUCUGCUGUCCAUGAACUCUCCUCACCUAGUCCUCGCCACAACUCCAGGCCCCAACGCAAAAGCAUGGCAGGUCUGCCUGGCCCAGAAGCCCCCUGUCCCCAACAUUGUUCUGCCAGCCCCAGGGAGGGCUUCCUGAUGUGCCACCAGGGUCCUUCGGCCUGGCAGGCUGAAGCCGGGGCCGGCUGUCACUGCCGCUGUCCUGGAUAGCCUCGUGGGCCUCCCCUGUGGUAAGCCAGGGGCUGUCUCGUUGCCCAGUAAGCCCUGGCUGCCCUCCCCUCCACAGGCUGGGCAGGCAACAGAAAAGCAGACUUCAGGAGCAAAAGGCGGAGGCCCCAGACCCCAGCUCUCCCAGAGCAGAAUGGAGCAGAAGGGACGGGCCGGUCCUUUAUCCCCUGGAGCCAGGCUUCCUGCCUCAGAAAUGCUUGGGGCUGCCCUCACACCACGCUGGGCAGCUUCAGGAGACACCGUGUGAUCACCUGGUGCUGGGGAACUCGCAGGCAUCAGCCCCUCCACUCCUCCCCAUUGGGGAAAGGGAGGAGAUGGGGCCCAAGGCAAGGGACCCAGGACAGGGCUUUGCAGGAGCACCCAAGCUUCAUGGGGCGAUUUCAUCAGUCACAUAGGAAUGCCAGCUGCGACGCCCACACACUGGAGACCCAGCAAACGAAGCAGGCCCGGACACUGGCAUGGAAUUCUGACACAUCAGGGUACAACCACCAAAUUGGAAAGGUCAUAAAAUAUUAAAGCUGUUGAUGGAGAGAAAAUAUUGAAGAUUUCAUCAGCAGUUUCUUGCCCUAUUUCAAUGAUAUUAACUUUUUAAUUAAAAUUGACGCUCAAGACUUUCCAACAGAGGGAAGUUUCACUUCUUAACCUAGAGGGAGCCGCA
This 1426-nucleotide long non-coding RNA is filed under the name Homo sapiens (human). RNAcentral describes it as "HSALNT0068318". Lineage: Eukaryota; Metazoa; Chordata; Mammalia; Primates; Hominidae. The record is from RNAcentral.